Molecule: ribosomal RNA, 253 nt
Filed under: uncultured bacterium
Lineage: Bacteria
Description: partial 16S ribosomal RNA
Rfam family: Bacterial small subunit ribosomal RNA
Source: RNAcentral
GACGUAGGGGGCCAGCGUUGUUCGGAAUUACUGGGUGUAAAGGGUUCGUAGGCGGUGUGGCAGGUCGGGAGUGAAAUCUCUGGGCUCAACCCAGAGUCUGCUUCCGAAACUGCUGUGCUUGAGUGUGGGAGAGGCGCGUGGAAUUGCAGGUGUAGCGGUGAAAUGCGUAGAUAUCUGCAGGAACACCCGUGGCGAAAGCGGCGCGCUGGACCACUACUGACGCUGAGGAACGAAAGCUAGGGGAGCAAACAGG